Molecule: long non-coding RNA, 1562 nt
Filed under: Gossypium barbadense (sea-island cotton)
Lineage: Eukaryota; Viridiplantae; Streptophyta; Magnoliopsida; Malvales; Malvaceae
Description: long non-coding RNA (GBAR_LNC022717)
Source: RNAcentral
CUUUGCCAAAAAGUAUGUGUUUCAAGUCAUGUAUUACUAUAACCAUCAAUCCAAGGUUCUCAAACAUAGCUACAACCCAGUCACAAAAUAGGCAAUUAAGUGGCAUCCUAGAAAUGAUUGGAAGAAUGAAGAAUCAAUGCUAGACUCGGAAAAAAUGGCUUAUUCGAUUAAACCAUAGCCUCUGAUAGGUUAAAACUAGUUGUGAAAAUUGAUGGAUAAGCAACCUCCAAAUGACUAAAGUUGUUAGUCAAAGAAUCUAAGUGGCUCGUUCACUACCAUUACUUUCCUAUGUUGUUCCUUCACCUUCUCCGCUGUCGCGUUCUCCAUGUUAAAUCAUAUGGUGUAGAAAAGAAACAUCAUCACAAAUAUGGAAAUCUGUAAAAACACUAAAAAAAUGCAUGCCAUAAACUAAAAGUUUCCUCAACUCUUUCAUUUUUUGUGAAGUAUCUGUGUCCAAUGCGUAUUUAGAUAUGGAGAUAUGACCCCCAAAAUACAUGAAAAACUUCAAUAUAGAUACACACACAUACCUAUCCAGACACAUUAUCAUAUUCAAUUCAAGCAUCAUUAGAAAGAAAUCUAGAUUCAUAGAAUAAACAAGAAACUAAAGUUUCAUACCAUGAAAUCAAUAAAUUGAUAAGAACACUAUUAACUCUCAAGUACUUAAAAACAUAAGCUGAAGCUGAAGCUGAAGCUUCCCUUGGCUCUUUCUCUACCAUGGAAAUCACAUCAACUGCCAAAUCCCAACAUCUCUAUGAGUUUAUCAACAAACAUACUUUAAACUACACCAUAAACAAAAAGGGCUUUUGCCUGAACUCAGAGGAGUCUAUCAGCAUCAGAUUUAUUCAAAACAAAUUGUAACUGGACGCGAAGGUGAGUAUCUAAAACAGGUAUGUUUCGACACAGAUAAGCUCAAUUAUUCCAUACAUUUGUCAAGAUAUUUGUUGGACACAGAAUAUUAAAAUAAUAAUAACUUAGGUAACAUAGUUCGGCUUAUACUUGGAACUAAAAAAAAGUCCACAACACCAUAACAACUUCUCCCCCCAAAAAUAAUCUUUUUUCUUUUAGAAAUAUUCAGUUGAAACAAAUUCUUUAUUCAUGUUAUGAAACUGAAUGGCAUCCAUAGUAAAAUAAUUCCUAAAAAAAGGUGAACUUUCAUACUCCAAAUUAAGCAUUUAAUUAGAUUCAAACAAAAACAUUUUUAAAAAAUGGCAGAACAGAGAAAAUGGGAAAAUGAAAUAAUUAUAAUAAAAAGGAUCUAGAAAUUUACCAUUUUUCUUAGCAGGAUUUGGGAUACAACCUCAGAAAUCCAAAGAUGAAAAUGUUGAAGCGGCUUCUGGCUUUCGUAUUUUAUGUUUUGUCAGUGAAAUGAAAAUAUUCACCUCACCUUGGAUGAAGGGGAGGAAUGCUGGAGUCAGAGGAAGCAAGAAAUGGCUGCCGUUGAGUGUUUUUGAGGUGAGAAUUUGUGAGGGUAAAAUAGGGUUGAUUUGGGACGAAUGGGUAAACGGUGAAGAGGAAAGGGAAUAGAAAUCCCCAAAUUUUUCUGUUUAAGGCCGGAAUAAAAU